UACGUAGGUGGCAAGCGUUGUCCGGAUUUACUGGGCGUAAAGGAUGCGUAGGCGGACAUUUAAGUCAGAUGUGAAAUACCCGAGCUUGACUUGGGUGCUGCAUUUGAAACUGGGUGUCUAGAGUGCAGGAGAGGUAAGUGGAAUUCCUAGUGUAGCGGUGAAAUGCGUAGAGAUUAGGAAGAACACCAGUGGCGAAGGCGACUUACUGGACUGUAACUGACGCUGAGGCAUGAAAGCGUGGGGAGCAAACAGG
RNAcentral lists this ribosomal RNA (253 nucleotides) under uncultured bacterium. Its description in RNAcentral is "partial 16S ribosomal RNA". It matches the Rfam family "Bacterial small subunit ribosomal RNA", at positions 524 to 776 of the family's 1533-position model. The record is from RNAcentral.